GGAGCUCACUCUGAAGAGCAAAACUGAUUUUAAAAGGCUGCAGUGUGUCCAAAAUCAAUUACAUUAAUGAAUGAAAAUGUUGUUUGAUCAACCCUGAGGAAGAUGAUGUGAAACCAAUAAAGGGGUCCUGAAAUGUCAUGGAGAUUGGAGCUGAGAAUGCAGUUACCACCUGAAUUCAUCCUGUCCGUACUGUCACAUCUUCCAUGCAGGUUGGUGUGUUUAUGUCCUGAGAGUGAGCAAGUCAAUAGAGGGUGUCACCUGGACAGAGCAUCCGGUCUGUGUUCAGGCCCCUUCAUGUCUGUGCUGAGUCAGUCAUGG
Molecule: long non-coding RNA, 318 nt
Organism: Brienomyrus brachyistius
Lineage: Eukaryota; Metazoa; Chordata; Actinopteri; Osteoglossiformes; Mormyridae
Exons: 3
Source: RefSeq, a predicted model, not a curated record